This 495-nucleotide ribosomal RNA is filed under the name uncultured bacterium. RNAcentral's name for it is "partial 16S ribosomal RNA". It matches the Rfam family "Bacterial small subunit ribosomal RNA", at positions 28 to 507 of the family's 1533-position model. The record is from RNAcentral.
GACGAACGCUGGCGGCGUGCCUAAUACAUGCAAGUAGAACGCUGAAGGAGGAGCUUGCUUCUCUGGAUGAGUUGCGAACGGGUGAGUAACGCGUAGGUAACCUGCCUGGUAGCGGGGGAUAACUAUUGGAAACGAUAGCUAAUACCGCAUAAUAGUAGAUGUUGCAUGACAUUUGCUUAAAAGGUGCAAUUGCAUCACUACCAGAUGGACCUGCGUUGUAUUAGCUAGUUGGUGGGGUAACGGCUCACCAAGGCGACGAUACAUAGCCGACCGGAGAGGGUGAUCGGCCACACUGGGACUGAGACACGGCCCAGACGCCUACGGGAGGCAGCAGUAGGGAAUCUUCGGCAAUGGACGGAAGUCUGACCGAGCAACGCCGCGUGAGUGAAGAAGGUUUUCGGAUCGUAAAGCUCUGUUGUAAGAGAAGAACGAGUGUGAGAGUGGAAAGUUCACACUGUGACGGUAUCUGACCAGAAAGGGACGGCUAACUACGUG